This 97-nucleotide microRNA precursor is filed under the name Equus caballus (horse). RNAcentral describes it as "mir-9058 microRNA precursor family". It matches the Rfam family "mir-9058 microRNA precursor family". The record is from Rfam by way of RNAcentral. Lineage: Eukaryota; Metazoa; Chordata; Mammalia; Perissodactyla; Equidae.
GUGAUUGCCAGGCGGGUCCUCUCUACUAGUGCUGUGCAGAGGCUUUCACUGAGGCUCCUGUGAGCCUGUAGAGUUUCCCCUUGGGCUGUGGAGACAG